Molecule: ribosomal RNA, 271 nt
Filed under: uncultured bacterium
Lineage: Bacteria
Description: partial 16S ribosomal RNA
Rfam family: Bacterial small subunit ribosomal RNA
Source: RNAcentral
AAGUUUGAUGGCGACCGGCGCACGGGUGAGUAACACGUAUCCAACCUGCCGAUGACUCGGGGAUAGCCUUUCGAAAGAAAGAUUAAUACCCGGUGGCAUAGUUCUUCCGCAUGGUGGAACUAUUAAAGAAUUUCGGUCAUCGAUGGGGAUGCGUUCCAUUAGGUUGUUGGCGGGUACGGCCCACCAAGCCUUCGAUGGAUAGGGGUUCUGAGAGGAAGGUCCCCCACAUUGGAACUGAGACACGGUCCAAACUCCUACGGGAGGCAGCAUG